GCUGCUCAAAUAUGCUAUCUCUCCAUGGUGGGCAGCAGGCAACGGGUUAUAAUCCGGCUAAAGCAUAU
This 68-nucleotide ribozyme is filed under the name unclassified sequences. Its description in RNAcentral is "HDV ribozyme from F. prausnitzii". It matches the Rfam family "HDV ribozyme from F. prausnitzii". The record is from RNAcentral.